GCCGGGCGCGGUGGCGAGCGCCUGUAGUCCCAGCUACUCGGAGGCUGAGGCGGGAGAAUGGCGUGAACCCGGGAGGUGGAGCUUGCAGUGAGCUGAGAUUGCACCACUGCACUCCAGCCUGGGUGACAGAGCGAGACUCCGUCUCAA
RNAcentral lists this small RNA (147 nucleotides) under Papio anubis (olive baboon). Its description in RNAcentral is "Metazoan signal recognition particle RNA (ENSPANG00000042383.1)". Lineage: Eukaryota; Metazoa; Chordata; Mammalia; Primates; Cercopithecidae. The record is from Rfam by way of RNAcentral.